RNAcentral lists this ribosomal RNA (465 nucleotides) under uncultured Klebsiella sp. RNAcentral's name for it is "bacterial SSU rRNA". It matches the Rfam family "Bacterial small subunit ribosomal RNA", at positions 338 to 795 of the family's 1533-position model. The record is from RNAcentral. Lineage: Bacteria; Pseudomonadati; Pseudomonadota; Gammaproteobacteria; Enterobacterales; Enterobacteriaceae.
CCUACGGGGGGCAGCAGUGGGGAAUAUUGCACAAUGGGCGCAAGCCUGAUGCAGCCAUGCCGCGUGUGUGAAGAAGGCCUUCGGGUUGUAAAGCACUUUCAGCGGGGAGGAAGGCGGUGAGGUUAAUAACCUCAUCGAUUGACGUUACCCGCAGAAGAAGCACCGGCUAACUCCGUGCCAGCAGCCGCGGUAAUACGGAGGGUGCAAGCGUUAAUCGGAAUUACUGGGCGUAAAGCGCACGCAGGCGGUCUGUCAAGUCGGAUGUGAAAUCCCCGGGCUCAACCUGGGAACUGCAUUCGAAACUGGCAGGUUAGAGUCUUGUAGAGGGGGGUAGAAUUCCAGGUGUAGCGGUGAAAUGCGUAGAGAUCUGGAGGAAUACCGGUGGCGAAGGCGGCCCCCUGGACAAAGACUGACGCUCAGGUGCGAAAGCGUGGGGAGCAAACAGGAUUAGAUACCCUAGUAGUC